AUUGAACGCUGGCGGCAUGCCUUACACAUGCAAGUCGAACGGCAGCACGGGAGCAAUCCUGGUGGCGAGUGGCGAACGGGUGAGUAAUAUAUCGGAACGUGCCCAGUCGUGGGGGAUAACGUAGCGAAAGCUACGCUAAUACCGCAUACGAUCUAUGGAUGAAAGCGGGGGAUCGCAAGACCUCGCGCGAUUGGAGCGGCCGAUAUCAGAUUAGGUAGUUGGUGAGGUAAAGGCUCACCAAGCUGACGAUCUGUAGCUGGUCUGAGAGGACGACCAGCCACACUGGGACUGAGACACGGCCCAGACUCCUACGGGAGGCAGCAGUGGGGAAUUUUGGACAAUGGGCGCAAGCCUGAUCCAGCAAUGCCGCGUGCAGGAUGAAGGCCUUCGGGUUGUAAACUGCUUUUGUACGGAACGAAACGGUGAGCUCUAAUACAGUUUGCUAAUGACGGUACCGUAAGAAUAAGCACCGGCUAACUACGUG
This 484-nucleotide ribosomal RNA is filed under the name uncultured bacterium. RNAcentral's name for it is "bacterial SSU rRNA". It matches the Rfam family "Bacterial small subunit ribosomal RNA", at positions 30 to 507 of the family's 1533-position model. The record is from RNAcentral.